RNAcentral lists this ribosomal RNA (402 nucleotides) under Bacteroidota bacterium. RNAcentral's name for it is "Bacteroidetes bacterium partial 16S ribosomal RNA". It matches the Rfam family "Bacterial small subunit ribosomal RNA", at positions 355 to 776 of the family's 1533-position model. Lineage: Bacteria; Pseudomonadati; Bacteroidota. The record is from RNAcentral.
UGGGGAAUUUUGCACAAUGGGGGAAACCCUGAUGCAGCGACGCCGCUUGUUUUAGAAGGCCUUCGGGUUGUAAAAAUCUUUUCUUUGGGAAGAAAAUGACAGUACCAUAGGAAUAAGGACCGGCUAAUUACGCGCCAGCAGCCGCGGUAAUACGUAAGGUCCGACCGUUGUCCGGAAUCAUUGGUCGUAAAGGGUACGUAGGCGGGUAAGCAAGUUAGAAGUGAAAUCCUGUAGCUCAACUACAGUAAUCUUUUAAAACUGCUCAUCUUGAGGUAUGGAAGGGAAAGUGGAAUUCCUGGUGUAGCGGUGAAAUGCGCAGAUAUUAGGAGGAAUACCGGUGGCGAGGGCGACUUUCUGGCCAUAACCUGACGCUGAGGUACGAAAGCGUGGGUAGCAAACAGG